This 330-nucleotide ribosomal RNA is filed under the name Triticum aestivum (bread wheat). RNAcentral's name for it is "partial small subunit ribosomal RNA". The record is from RNAcentral. Lineage: Eukaryota; Viridiplantae; Streptophyta; Magnoliopsida; Poales; Poaceae.
AUGAUGUUCUCGAGCCAGGUCGACGCCUUCUCGCCGUCGCAGUUCCCCGCGUCGCAGAACGCCGCCGCCGACUCCACCCCCAACAAGUUCCGGGGCGCGUCGGGCACGAUGCCGCUGACCGUGAGGCAGAUCACGGACGCGCGACUGGCCGGCACGGGGAAGAAGGGCUUGCCCUUGGUCGUCGACGGUGUCGAGACGGCCAACGUCAGGCUCGUGGGGAUGCUGAGCGGCAAGGCGGAGCAGAACACGGACGUGUCCUUCACCCUCGACGGCACCGGGGCGACAUGCGGCGGCGGGAUCCCGGGCGGCGGCGGGCCGCCAGAUGCUUGA